RNAcentral lists this ribosomal RNA (1435 nucleotides) under uncultured organism. RNAcentral describes it as "16S ribosomal RNA". It matches the Rfam family "Bacterial small subunit ribosomal RNA". The record is from RNAcentral.
UAACACAUGCAAGUCGAGGGGCAGCAUUUCAGUUUGCUUGCAAACUGGAGAUGGCGACCGGCGCACGGGUGAGUAACACGUAUCCAACCUGCCGAUAACUCGGGGAUAGCCUUUCGAAAGAAAGAUUAAUACCCGAUGGCAUAAUUAGACCGCAUGGUCUUAUUAUUAAAGAAUUUCGGUUAUCGAUGGGGACGCGUUCCAUUAGGCAGUUGGUGAGGUAACGGCUCACCAAACCUUCGAUGGAUAGGGGUUCUGAGAGGAAGGUCCCCCACAUUGGAACUGAGACACGGUCCAAACUCCUACGGGAGGCAGCAGUGAGGAAUAUUGGUCAAUGGGCGCAGGCCUGAACCAGCCAAGUAGCGUGAAGGAUGACUGCCCUAUGGGUUGUAAACUUCUUUUAUAUGGGAAUAAAGUUUUCCACGUGUGGAAUUUUGUAUGUACCAUAUGAAUAAGGAUCGGCUAACUCCGUGCCAGCAGCCGCGGUAAUACGGAGGAUCCGAGCGUUAUCCGGAUUUAUUGGGUUUAAAGGGAGCGUAGGUGGACAGUUAAGUCAGUUGUGAAAGUUUGCGGCUCAACCGUAAAAUUGCAGUUGAUACUGGCUGUCUUGAGUACAGUAGAGGUGGGCGGAAUUCGUGGUGUAGCGGUGAAAUGCUUAGAUAUCACGAAGAACUCCGAUUGCGAAGGCAGCUCACUGGACUGCAACUGACACUGAUGCUCGAAAGUGUGGGUAUCAAACAGGAUUAGAUACCCUGGUAGUCCACACAGUAAACGAUGAAUACUCGCUGUUUGCGAUAUACAGUAAGCGGCCAAGCGAAAGCAUUAAGUAUUCCACCUGGGGAGUACGCCGGCAACGGUGAAACUCAAAGGAAUUGACGGGGGCCCGCACAAGCGGAGGAACAUGUGGUUUAAUUCGAUGAUACGCGAGGAACCUUACCCGGGCUUAAAUUGCAUUUGAAUAUAUUGGAAACAGUAUAGCCGUAAGGCAAAUGUGAAGGUGCUGCAUGGUUGUCGUCAGCUCGUGCCGUGAGGUGUCGGCUUAAGUGCCAUAACGAGCGCAACCCUUAUCUUUAGUUACUAACAGGUCAUGCUGAGGACUCUAGAGAGACUGCCGUCGUAAGAUGUGAGGAAGGUGGGGAUGGCGUCAAAUCAGCACGGCCCUUACGUCCGGGGCUACACACGUGUUACAAUGGGGGGUACAGAAGGCGGCUACCUGGUGACAGGAUGCUAAUCCCAAAAGCCUCUCUCAGUUCGGAUCGAAGUCUGCAACCCGACUUCGUGAAGCUGGAUUCGCUAGUAAUCGCGCAUCAGCCAUGGCGCGGUGAAUACGUUCCCGGGCCUUGUACACACCGCCCGUCAAGCCAUGAAAGCCGGGGGUACCUGAAGUACGUAACCGCAAGGAGCGUCCUAGGGUAAAACUGGUAAUUGGGGCUAAGUC